UACUAAGAAGAAUAAUUAUAUUUAUUCCCUAAUAAGAACUUAAAUCUUAAGCACUGAUCUGCCAUCUUAGU
This 71-nucleotide transfer RNA is filed under the name Acanthosepion pharaonis. RNAcentral describes it as "Sepia pharaonis tRNA-Leu". Lineage: Eukaryota; Metazoa; Mollusca; Cephalopoda; Sepiida; Sepiidae. The record is from RNAcentral.